This 278-nucleotide ribosomal RNA is filed under the name uncultured bacterium. RNAcentral's name for it is "partial 16S ribosomal RNA". It matches the Rfam family "Bacterial small subunit ribosomal RNA", at positions 506 to 784 of the family's 1533-position model. The record is from RNAcentral.
UGCCAGCCGCCGCGGUAAUACGGGGGCGCAAGCGUUAUUCGGAAUUAUUGGGCGUAAAGGGCGCGCAGGCGGUCUUGUCCGUCAGGUGUGAAAGCUCGGGGCUCAACCCCGGAAGUGCACUUGAAACAGCAAGACUUGAAUACGGGAGAGGAAAGUGGAAUUCCGAGUGUAGGGGUGAAAUCCGUAGAUAUUCGGAGGAACACCAGUGGCGAAGGCGGCUUUCUGGACCGAUACUGACGCUGAGACGCGAAAGCGUGGGGAGCAAACAGGAUUAGAUA